GUGCCAGCCGCCGCGGUAACACCGGCGGCCCGAGUGGUGAUCGUGAUUAUUGGGUCUAAAGGGUCCGUAGCCGGUUUGGUCAGUCCUCCGGGAAAUCUGGCAGCUCAACUGUUAGGCUUUCGGGGGAUACUGCCAGACUUGGAACCGGGAGAGGUAAGAGGUACUACAGGGGUAGGAGU
Molecule: ribosomal RNA, 179 nt
Filed under: uncultured archaeon
Lineage: Archaea
Description: partial 16S ribosomal RNA
Rfam family: Archaeal small subunit ribosomal RNA
Source: RNAcentral